UCAUCAUGCCCCUUAUGACCUGGCUACACACGUGCUACAAUGGCUGGUACAACGAGUCGCAAGUCGGUGACGACAAGCUAAUCUCUUAAAGCCAGUCUCAGUUCGGAUUGUAGGCUGCAACUCGCCUACAUGAAGUCGGAAUCGCUAGUAAUCGCGGAUCAGCACGCCGCGGUGAAUACGUUCCCGGGCCUUGUACACACCGCCCGUCACACCACGAGAGUUUGUAACACCCGAAGUCGGUGAGGUAACCGUAAGGAGCCAGCCGCCUAAGGUGGGAUAGAUGAUUGGGGUGAAGUCGUAACAAGGUAGCCGUAUCGGAA
This 320-nucleotide ribosomal RNA is filed under the name uncultured bacterium. RNAcentral describes it as "bacterial SSU rRNA". It matches the Rfam family "Bacterial small subunit ribosomal RNA", at positions 1190 to 1510 of the family's 1533-position model. The record is from RNAcentral.